RNAcentral lists this ribosomal RNA (191 nucleotides) under uncultured bacterium. RNAcentral's name for it is "partial 16S ribosomal RNA". It matches the Rfam family "Bacterial small subunit ribosomal RNA", at positions 328 to 540 of the family's 1533-position model. The record is from RNAcentral.
ACGCUCGACACCUACGGAGGCAGCAGUGGGGAAUAUUGCACAAUGGGGGAAACCCUGAUGCAGCGACGCCGCGUGAAGGAAGAAGUAUUUCGGUAUGUAAACUUCUAUCAGCAGGGAAGAAGAUGACGGUACCUGACUAAGAAGCCCCGGCUAACUACGUCNCNNNCGCGAGUAUNGNGGCGNGNGAGACG